UGGGGAAUUUUGGACAAUGGGCGAAAGCCUGAUCCAGCAAUGCCGCGUGUGUGAAGAAGGCCUUCGGGUUGUAAAGCACUUUUGUCCGGAAAGAAAUCCUUGGCUCUAAUACAGUCGGGGGAUGACGGUACCGGAAGAAUAAGCACCGGCUAACUACGUGCCAGCAGCCGCGGUAAUACGUAGGGUGCAAGCGUUAAUCGGAAUUACUGGGCGUAAAGCGUGCGCAGGCGGUUUGCUAAGACCGAUGUGAAAUCCCCGGGCUCAACCUGGGAACUGCAUUGGUGACUGGCAGGCUAGAGUAUGGCAGAGGGGGGUAGAAUUCCACGUGUAGCAGUGAAAUGCGUAGAGAUGUGGAGGAAUACCGAUGGCGAAGGCAGCCCCCUGGGCCAAUACUGACGCUCAUGCACGAAAGCGUGGGGGAGCAAACAGGAUUAGAUACCCUGGUAGUCCACGCCCUAAACGAUGUCAACUAGUUGUUGGGGAUUCAUUUCCUUAGUAACGUAGCUAACGCGUGAAGUUGACCGCCUGGGGAGUACGGUCGCAAGAUUAAAACUCAAAGGAAUUGACGGGGUCAUAGCUG
This 580-nucleotide ribosomal RNA is filed under the name uncultured bacterium. RNAcentral's name for it is "partial 16S ribosomal RNA". It matches the Rfam family "Bacterial small subunit ribosomal RNA", at positions 355 to 932 of the family's 1533-position model. The record is from RNAcentral.